CCUACGGGAGGCAGCAGUGAGGCAUAUUGGUCAAUGGGCGCGAGCCUGAACCAGCCAAGUAGCGUGAAGGAUGACUGCCCUACGGGUUGUAAACUUCUUUUAUAAAGGAAUAAAGUGAGGCACGUGUGCCUUUUUGUAUGUACUUUAUGAAUAAGGAUCGGCUAACUCCGUGCCAGCAGCCGCGGUAAUACGGAGGAUCCGAGCGUUAUCCGGAUUUCUUGGGUUUAAAGGGAGCGUAGAUGGGUUGUUAAGUCAGUUGUGAAAGUUUGCGGCUCAACCGUAAAAUUGCAAUUGAUACUGGCAGUCUUGAGUACAGUGUAGGUAGGCGGAAUUCGUGGUGUAGCGGUGAAAUGCUUAGAUAUCACGAAGAACCCCGAUUGCGAAGGCAGCUUACUAAACUGUGACUGACAUUGAUGCUCGAAAGUGUGGGUAUCAAACAGGAUUAGAUACCCCUGUAGUC
Molecule: ribosomal RNA, 460 nt
Filed under: uncultured bacterium
Lineage: Bacteria
Description: partial 16S ribosomal RNA
Rfam family: Bacterial small subunit ribosomal RNA
Source: RNAcentral